CUGCAAGCUUGAGAUGUCGUAUAUAAAUAUUGUUUCUAAGAAUUUAUUCUUGUACUGCAAGUUUUAGUUGGUUGGCAUACAUUGUUUAUCUGAAUUUUUGAAUGGUUGGUUGGUCUUCUUCCACUGCUUAGGUCUAUUUCAAGCGACAAAUAUUCGUGGAGUUUUGAGGAGUAGCGUCAUAUACUACAACUCUGGCCAACUCUCUAGCAAUAUUUUCACCUAGUGUUGAAGGUGUCGGUCCUUCCUUUUGUGGUUCGCGGCUUUGUGUGGACAGGCUUCUAUUUCUUGUUCUGCGUCUUCCCAUCGAUUAUGGCUAACUUUUGAAUCACUCUUGCUUCAAUGUUACCGCUAUAUUAUAAUUGAGUCAGACAAGAUGUGAGCGGCAAUAGGAUUGGAUUAUAGGAAUCGUACCAAGUUGGAAUGCGCACAGAAGAUUGAAUAGAAUUAUAUAAAGGAUUCAGAACAAGCUUUAUCUUUUGUCAUGGCCUUGUGCAGGUGUCUCUCCUUUUUUACUGGAAAGAAAGAGAAAAACAAGGUAACAGAUAUGUACUUAUAUUGGGUGUGCUUGAUUUGUAUUUCAAAAACCCAUAUUGGGUGUUUUCGGUUGCUGUUUUCAAAAACUAUUUUUUAAGUAAUAAAAACAAAAUAUAGUAAACAGAUAUCCACACGCAGCACCACUUUAACGACUUCUUAGAUCCUUGAGUUUGGACUACAAAAGAGAAAAACUGAUGAUAAAAUAUCGUAUACCUUACCUGCUUUGUUUUUUUUCUUCAGGGUGCUGCUGAAGGGUCUUCAACCGGGGACCUUAAAGCUCAACUUGGCGAAAUACAGCACCCGAAGAUUUCAUCAGAGCGUCGUGAUUUGAAGCCGG
This 871-nucleotide long non-coding RNA is filed under the name Vigna radiata. RNAcentral's name for it is "long non-coding RNA (VRAD_LNC003737)". Lineage: Eukaryota; Viridiplantae; Streptophyta; Magnoliopsida; Fabales; Fabaceae. The record is from RNAcentral.